Molecule: long non-coding RNA, 419 nt
Filed under: Nicotiana benthamiana
Lineage: Eukaryota; Viridiplantae; Streptophyta; Magnoliopsida; Solanales; Solanaceae
Description: long non-coding RNA (NBEN_LNC020055)
Source: RNAcentral
CACCAGCAAAACAACUUGAAACCAACCGAUGGAACAGUAGACACAGCAGGAAGAAAGGAAAACUUUAACUAGCACUUUCAAAACCUCAAUUUAAUCCAUUUACACCCCAGGUAAACCAAAAGGUGUCCCAGUAAAUGAAAACUUCAGAAAAAUCAUAAAAGAACACCCAAUGGAACAUUGAUUCUGGAAACUUUUGUUUUUUUCCCUGAAAUUUAUGCCUUCAAAUCUCAGUAGAACAGUAAAUCACGUUGUCAUUUCAAUGUUCAACUCUCUAUAUCUCUCAGAUUUUUCAGAAUGUUUCCCCUAAUUUUCAGCUCUCUUCUCUGCCUUCUAAGGCAAGUUAUAUGUGCUUUUAUAUGCAAACAAAUAGGGCAACAAAUAAGAAACAGAUUUGCCUCUUGAGUCCUUUUGAAUUAUUG